UACGAGGGGGGCAAGCGUUGUUCGGAAUUAUUGGGCGUAAAGGGCGCGUAGGCGGUUUGACAAGUCUUAUGUGAAAUCUCUGGGCUCAACCCAGAGUCUGCAUGGGAAACUGUCGGGCUUGAGUAUGGGAGAGGUGAGUGGAAUUUCCGGUGUAGCGGUGAAAUGCGUAGAUAUCGGAAGGAACACCUGUGGCGAAAGCGGCUCACUGGACCAUAACUGACGCUGAGGCGCGAAAGCUAGGGGAGCAAACAGG
This 253-nucleotide ribosomal RNA is filed under the name uncultured bacterium. Its description in RNAcentral is "partial 16S ribosomal RNA". It matches the Rfam family "Bacterial small subunit ribosomal RNA", at positions 524 to 776 of the family's 1533-position model. The record is from RNAcentral.